GGUCUCCAAUUUUUGAAACCGAGCUUUCUUCUCUCUCUCUUGCGUCCGAAACCGGAGGAAAAACAGAGCAAGCUUUCCCGGUCGAGUUCUCCACCCUCCGGCCACCGUUUGACGCCAAAUCACCUCCCUUGCCUUCGCCUCGACGCCGCCUGCCUUCCGGGCGUGAUUGUUUCCGCCGGCACAGCCUCAAAACCCGGUGAAACGGAGUUGCAGACCUUGAAGCAAAAACGGUCAACCCCGUUUUCCUCCUAGCUCCGGCCACCAAAACUUCCGAUCCUUAGCUCCAUGAACUCGCCUCAACUUGCUGAUCAUCAUACUAGAAGGAUCGCACCUGGAGUGACCGGUUUCACGUUCGUCGGAGCUCGUGGGUUCGACUUGAUGUUCUUAACAACUAUCUAGAAGGAAUUAAGGCCUGAAAUUGAAGUUUUUACGUCGAAAAUUGAGCUCGCCGGUUUCUGGAAAUUCUCGCCGGUUUCUGGAAAGUUUCCGGCCACAUUCAUACUGUUCAAGGUGAUUGACGGUCUUCCUUGGGUGAGCGGUUUCGGUGUGUAUUGUGUUGAAGUGAAGACGCAGCGGGACUAGAGCGGGUAAUCCUGUAGGUCAGGAGAAUCAGGGCGGUGAUCGUGCGGGUUAGAGCAUUUGUUAUAAUUUUACAGCAAUUGUAAUAGUGAGGUGAGUUAAGCUCAUUUGAGCCUUGCAAUUUGAUUUGGUGAGAGUGUGCUGUAAUAAAUAACUUGAGAAUGUGGUUUAUUGUAUUAUUGAGAGGUGUGAAGUGUGGUUGUUUUUGAGAAAAAAAUUCAGGACGUUGGUUUGUAAUAGUUAUUAUUCAUGUUUCGGAUUUGAAUUGUUUAUUCAAAAUUCGGGGCGU
This 868-nucleotide long non-coding RNA is filed under the name Rosa chinensis. RNAcentral describes it as "sRNA RchiOBHm_Chr0c30g0501191". The record is from RNAcentral. Lineage: Eukaryota; Viridiplantae; Streptophyta; Magnoliopsida; Rosales; Rosaceae.